Molecule: ribosomal RNA, 253 nt
Filed under: uncultured bacterium
Lineage: Bacteria
Description: partial 16S ribosomal RNA
Rfam family: Bacterial small subunit ribosomal RNA
Source: RNAcentral
UACGUAGGGACCAAGCGUUGUCCGGAUUCAUUGGGCGUAAAGGGUGCGUAGGCGGCGCGGUAAGUCGGGUGUGAAAUCUCGGAGCUUAACUCCGAAACUGCAUUCGAUACUGCCGUGCUUGAGGACUGGAGAGGAGACUGGAAUUUACGGUGUAGCGGUGAAAUGCGUAGAUAUCGAGAGGAACACCGGUGGCGAAGGCGGCCAACUGGACGAAUACUGACGCUGAGACUCGAAAGCGUGGGGAGCAAACAGG